CAGCAGGGUCUGUACAGCAUGAAAGGAAGGAGAAGUACUGUGCAGAAGUACAAGCGAGAUUUCUACUUUUUACUCCACUACUUUUAUCUGACAGCUACGGUUGCUUUGAUUUUACAUGAAGGAUUUGAUCACAUUAUUAUAAAGACUGCAGGUCUGGCACUGCAUUCCCACACUGGCAUCACCCUGAAUCUCUGUGAAGACAUGCUGGGAUUUAAACGAAGUCACCAAACCCUGUGAUGAUGACCCUGAUUGAUGAGCAGCCAAGUCCUGUGUGUGUGUGUGUGUGUGUGUGUGUGUGUGUUUUCCCACACAGCCCUGAGACAAAACAUCUCAUCAGGUAACGUCUGGGCAGGUGGAGCUCCUCAACCAGCUGCAGUAACACACUGAAUACAUUUUGAAGACACAACGAUGAAAAUCCGCUAAUGCAGUGAAGUUACCGUGGAGACCCACAAGUCAGACAGUAAAAUUGAGGGUCAAACCACCAUCACAUACUGUGACAAAGUAAGAAGCAGGAGCAGCUGGUCCACACCCAGGGAGUUAAUAUGGAAUAUUCCUGCUCCUCUUCAAAAACAUUGGAUGAUUUCAUGUUUUCCAGUAAAUCUGGAUGGAAGAUCUUCAGCCCACGUCAGGUCACACAGAGGACACAGGAAGUGAAGAGCGGAUCCAGUCUUCUGUCCAUCUCAGCUUCUAUCCAGACUCUGUUGUCGGGUUUUGUCUC
Molecule: long non-coding RNA, 718 nt
Organism: Scatophagus argus
Lineage: Eukaryota; Metazoa; Chordata; Actinopteri; Scatophagidae
Exons: 2
Source: RefSeq, a predicted model, not a curated record